RNAcentral lists this ribosomal RNA (1244 nucleotides) under metagenome. RNAcentral describes it as "bacterial LSU rRNA". It matches the Rfam family "Bacterial large subunit ribosomal RNA", at positions 1564 to 2818 of the family's 2925-position model. The record is from RNAcentral.
UGAGUACGAGAUGCUACGGCAUCGAAGCAGUCUAUGUCAUACUUCCAAGAAAAGCUUGCACUGUCAUAAACAAAGAAUGCCUGUACCAUAACCGACACAGGUGGGUAGGUAGAGUAUACUAAGGGGCGCGAGAUAACUCUCUCUAAGGAACUCGGCAAAAUGACUCCGUAACUUCGGGAGAAGGAGUGCCUUAUUUCUAAGGUUGCAAUAACAAGAUCCAAGCAACUGUUUACCAAAAACACAGGUCUCCGCUAAGUCGUAAGACGAUGUAUGGGGGCUGACGCCUGCCCAGUGCCAGAAGGUUAAAGAAGUUGGUUAGCAUUAGCGAAGCUGAUAACUGAAGCCCUGGUGAACGGCGGCCGUAACAAUAACGGUCCUAAGGUAGCGAAAUUCCUUGUCGGGUAAGUUCCGACCCGCACGAAAGGCGUAAUGAUUUGGAUACUGUCUCGGAGAGGGGCUCGGUGAAAUAGACUUGUCUGUGAAGAUGCGGACUACCUGCACCUGGACAGAAAGACCCUAUGAAGCUUUACUGUAACUUGAGAUUGAAAUUGGACUUUAUUUGCGCAGUAUAGGUGGGAGGCGUUGAGAAUAAUCUUGCGGGAUUGUUGGAGCCAUCAGUGAGAUACCACUCUUGUAAUGUUAGAUUUCUAACUUUGUAUCAUUAUCUGGUCAAAGAACAGUUUCAGGCGGGCAGUUUGACUGGGGCGGUCGCCUCCCAAAGGGUAACGGAGGCGCACAAAGGUUUCCUCUGAACGGGUAGAAAUCGUAUCUAGAGUGUAAAGGCAUAAGGAAGCUUGACUGUGAGACCUACAAGUCGAGCAGGGACGAAAGUCGGUCUUAGUGAUCUGACGGUGCUGAGUGGAAAGGCCGUCACUCAACGGAUAAAAGUUACUCUAGGAUAACAGGCUGAUCUCCCCCAAGAGUUCACAUCGACGGGGAGGUUUUGCACCUCGAUGUCGGCUCAUCGCAUCCUGGGGCGGUAGUCCGUCCCAAGGGUUGGGCUGCUCGCCCAUGAAAGCGGUACGCGAGCUGGGUUCAGAACGUCGUGAGACAGUUCGGUCCAUAUCCGGUGUAGGCGUUAGAAUAUUGAGAGGAGCCUUCUCUAGUACGAGAGGACCGAGAAGGACAUACCUCUGGUGUACCAGUUAUCGUGCCAACGGUAAACGCUGGGUAGCUAUGUAUGGAGUGGAUAACCGCUGAAAGCAUCUAAGUGGGAAGCCCACCUCAAGAUAAGUAUUCUCAAA